GCGGUCAUAGAUUAGCUGGGAGAUCGUCAGACUGAAGAUCUGAAGGUCGUGUGUUCGAGUCACACUGACCGCA
RNAcentral lists this transfer RNA (73 nucleotides) under Metarhizium anisopliae. RNAcentral describes it as "tRNA-Phe". It matches the Rfam family "tRNA". From Rfam's summary of the family: Transfer RNA (tRNA) molecules are approximately 80 nucleotides in length. Lineage: Eukaryota; Fungi; Ascomycota; Sordariomycetes; Hypocreales; Clavicipitaceae. RNAcentral also lists the same sequence under 4 other names. The record is from RNAcentral.